CUACGGGGUGCUGCAGUGGGGAAUAUUGCACAAUGGGCGCAAGCCUGAUGCAGCCAUGCCGCGUGUAUGAAGAAGGCCUUCGGGUUGUAAAGUACUUUCAGCGGGGAGGAAUGGAGUAAAGUUAAUACCUUUGCUCAUUGACGUUACCCGCAGAAGAAGCACCGGCUAACUCCGUGCCAGCAGCCGCGGUAAUACGGAGGGUGCAAGCGUUAAUCGGAAUUACUGGGCGUAAAGCGCAGGCAGGCGGUUUGUUAAGUCAGAUGUGAAAUCCCCGGGCUCAACCUGGGAACUGCAUCUGAUACUGGCAAGCUUGAGUCUCGUAGAGGGGGGUAGAAUUCCAGGUGUAGCGGUGAAAUGCGUAGAGAUCUGGAGGAAUACCGGUGGCGAAGGCGGCCCCCUGGACGAAGACUGACGCUCAGGUGCGAAAGCGUGGGGAGCAAACAGGAUUAGAUACCCCGGUAGUC
Molecule: ribosomal RNA, 464 nt
Filed under: uncultured bacterium
Lineage: Bacteria
Description: partial 16S ribosomal RNA
Rfam family: Bacterial small subunit ribosomal RNA
Source: RNAcentral